GACAGCCAUCUCGACAGAGCGAAGACUUGGAUGUGGCAUGCCAUCCUCUGAAAACCACAAAAACAUCCAUAGAGAUUGUAUGGUAAGUGAGCCUUGCUGUAGUUUGAUUUGAUUUCGUUAUGACAGUUCAUGACCAUGCUGAUUACCAGAAGGUUUCUUGAUGGCUCGGAGAUGCUGUAAGACGAAGGCCUCGACAUGGCCCCGGAGGCGAUGAGCGAUGAUGUGGCAAGGGUGAGCAGCGUGGCGACGAUGACGGUUGCCACGAAUGUUACAGUGACGAUGGUGGCGAUGAUUGAUGAGGAUUCAGGUACAGAAUCUGCAUGUGCAGGGGUCAUAGUGAAGUUGUCAAUGCGACUGACUAGUUACUACUAAUAGGUUUGCAAAUCUAGAUGUAAAUUUAUGUACGUACAGUGUCUGACUUGGAGGCGGUCUGAUGCCAGGUUGAGAUUCCCAGCGACGUCCUGAGCUGUGUUCUCAGCGACCUGGACCGAAACCAGCUUGUCAACUGCCUGGAUAUGCAUUGUGUAUAUGCUCUUGCUUGCUUCAUGGAAGCUGAAAGCAGCAAAAUCGACCGUCACCUUGGCGAUCUAAGGUACUACAGUAAAACUUAUUUAAUUUUUCAGAUGUUUGGAAUCUCUAUUGAUUCUUGCCUACACAGAUUGCCACCGGAAACCUGCACCGCGGAGGAACUGAAGUUAAACACGGGCUUUUCAAACUUGAUGAGGACCGGGAUGCUGCGCGAACUUGUCCGCACGGUCGACGUCGCGAGUUUCACAGAAGGCCUUUGACUAUCUGCAUAUCAAGCAAAAGAGGAAAUUUUUCAGAUGCAAAAUGAUGAGUGCUCUGCUUACAAAAAUGGAAGUAUAUAAAUUGGUUGGGAGUUGGAACAGAUACUAAUAAAUACC
RNAcentral lists this long non-coding RNA (905 nucleotides) under Brachypodium distachyon (stiff brome). Its description in RNAcentral is "long non-coding RNA (BDIS_LNC003891)". The record is from RNAcentral. Lineage: Eukaryota; Viridiplantae; Streptophyta; Magnoliopsida; Poales; Poaceae.